This 567-nucleotide ribosomal RNA is filed under the name fuel tank bacterium S1. Its description in RNAcentral is "bacterial SSU rRNA". It matches the Rfam family "Bacterial small subunit ribosomal RNA", at positions 337 to 894 of the family's 1533-position model. The record is from RNAcentral.
UCCUACGGGGAGGCAGCAGUAGGGAAUCUUCCACAAUGGACGAAAGUCUGAUGGAGCAACGCCGCGUGAGUGAUGAAGGUUUUCGGAUCGUAAAACUCUGUUGUAAGGGAAGAACAAGUACGUUAGGAAAUGAACGUACCUUGACGGUACCUUAUUAGAAAGCCACGGCUAACUACGUGCCAGCAGCCGCGGUAAUACGUAGGUGGCAAGCGUUGUCCGGAUUUAUUGGGCGUAAAGCGCGCGCAGGUGGUUUCUUAAGUCUGAUGUGAAAUCUCGCGGCUCAACCGCGAGCGGUCAUUGGAAACUGGGGAACUUGAGUGCAGAAGAGGAUAGUGGAAUUCCAAGUGUAGCGGUGAAAUGCGUAGAGAUUUGGAGGAACACCAGUGGCGAAGGCGACUGUCUGGUCUGUAACUGACACUGAGGCGCGAAAGCGUGGGGAGCAAACAGGAUUAGAUACCCUGGUAGUCCACGCCGUAAACGAUGAGUGCUAAGUGUUAGGGGGUUUCCGCCCCUUAGUGCUGCAGCUAACGCAUUAAGCACUCCGCCUGGGGAGUACGACCGCAAGGU